AGGGGUGUAGCUCAGUAUUAGAGAACUUGCCUACCAUGCAUGAGGCCCUGGGUUCAAUCCCCAGCACAACUA
This 72-nucleotide transfer RNA is filed under the name Ictidomys tridecemlineatus (thirteen-lined ground squirrel). RNAcentral's name for it is "Spermophilus tridecemlineatus (thirteen-lined ground squirrel) tRNA". It matches the Rfam family "tRNA". From Rfam's summary of the family: Transfer RNA (tRNA) molecules are approximately 80 nucleotides in length. The record is from Rfam by way of RNAcentral. Lineage: Eukaryota; Metazoa; Chordata; Mammalia; Rodentia; Sciuridae.